Molecule: ribosomal RNA, 591 nt
Filed under: uncultured bacterium
Lineage: Bacteria
Description: bacterial SSU rRNA
Rfam family: Bacterial small subunit ribosomal RNA
Source: RNAcentral
UGACGGUACCUACAAAAGAAGCACCGGCUAACUAUGUGCCAGCAGCCGCGGUAAUACAUAGGGUGCAAGCGUUGUCCGGAAUUAUUGGGCGUAAAGAGCUCGUAGGUCGUUUGUUACGUCGGAUGUGAAAACCUGAGGCUCAACCUCAGGCCUGCAUUCGAUACGGGCAAACUAGAGUUUGGUAGGGGAGACUGGAAUUCCUGGUGUAGCGGUGGAAUGCGCAGAUAUCAGGAGGAACACCAAUGGCGAAGGCAGGUCUCUGGGCCAAUACUGACACUGAGGAGCGAAAGUCGGGGGAGCGAACAGGAUUAGAUACCCUGGUAGUCCAGACCGUAAACGGUGGGCACUAGUUGUGGGAACCUUCCACGGUUUCUGCGACGCAGCUAACGCAUUAAGUGCCCCGCCUGGGGGAGUACGGUCGCAAGAUUAAAACUCAAAGGAAUAGACGGGGCCCCGCACAAGCAGCGGAGCAUGCGGCUUAAUUCGACGCAACGCGUAGAACCUUACCAAGGCUUGACAUAUACAGGAAUAUGGGCAGAGAUGUCAUAGCCGCAAGGUCUGUAUACAGGUGGUUGCAUGGUUGUCGUCAGC